RNAcentral lists this unclassified non-coding RNA (259 nucleotides) under Hevea brasiliensis (rubber tree). The record is from RNAcentral. Lineage: Eukaryota; Viridiplantae; Streptophyta; Magnoliopsida; Malpighiales; Euphorbiaceae.
GUAUUUUUGAGAGAGAUAAGCGUUGACAAGGGAAGUAGCGUGAGAUCUCCCAGAAGAGGAAGAAGACACCCAUUGGGGCCUGUAAGAGGCUAACUUUGACCACUGGUUUCUCAAAUUUCGCUGAGCCGCCGGUCUCCAUAGCCGCGAAACUGACGGUGGCAGUGUGGGGGGGAGCCGUAGUAAGAGGAAGUAGCAGAGGAAGAGGUUUGCUCUGGGGUUUCCAUUGCUGGAGUUUAGGUCUCGAAGAGUUCUUUACUGC